RNAcentral lists this ribosomal RNA (253 nucleotides) under uncultured microorganism. RNAcentral describes it as "partial 16S ribosomal RNA". It matches the Rfam family "Bacterial small subunit ribosomal RNA", at positions 524 to 776 of the family's 1533-position model. The record is from RNAcentral.
UACGGAGGGGGCAAGCGUUGUUCGGAGUUACUGGGCGUAAAGCGCGCGUAGGCGGUGCGGUAAGUCAGGGGUUAAAGGCUGCAGCUCAACUGCAGUAAGGCCUUUGAUACUAUCGCGCUAGAGUACCAGAGAGGAUGGCGGAAUUCCCGGUGUAGCGGUGAAGUGCGUAGAUAUCGGGAGGAACACCAGUAGCGAAGGCGGCCAUCUGGCUGAUAACUGACGCUGAGGUGCGAGAGCGUGGGGAGCAAACAGG